Molecule: long non-coding RNA, 1443 nt
Organism: Acanthochromis polyacanthus (spiny chromis)
Lineage: Eukaryota; Metazoa; Chordata; Actinopteri; Pomacentridae
Exons: 3
Source: RefSeq, a predicted model, not a curated record
GGGAUUUGAGUGGGGGAAUGUCAGGUUCAAGCUAAGGAAGUAAACAGUGGAAAACAGCCAACUCUCUGUCGUUCUUUUUAGAUAGAAACCCACAGUGAGUUACAGGCGUAACAUAACAUCUUCAAGACUUCAUAAAAACUUAAGGAACAGAUACUUAUGGUUUUUGAGUGAAUUUCGAUCCGAGUUUUGAUCGGUAAAACUUACGUUUUAAAACGAUUUUCUGACAGUUACAGCCAUUGUUAGGGAGACGCCAGCGUGUCGUCAUUUGUUAUGGUCACGUGGUACAAGACCGCUGCUUGUUGGCAAGAACCAGCAGUAACAUAACGGCUUGCUACGAGAACGGUAUCGGGUUUGAAACAAAUACGUAAAGUUAUCGCUUUUCAUGAAUGAAAUUGCACAUGUAUUUACCACAAUGGUAAUAUCGUGUGUGGUUGUUGGUUGUACGAAGCGUUUUGAGAAGGUAUCAGGCUUGAAAUUUCACCGAAUACCGAUUUCAGGAGAGAGAAGAUGGCGGUGGCUUCAGCCAUCAACAGGAAAGCAGCAGAGAUCGUAUUUGUGGCUCCCACUUUUCUUCAGACAGGAGCACAGUAUGGAAGGCGAAUGAUGACUGGUUACCUGUCUUCAAAAGGAAUCCAAGCAUCUGAGGGACGUGUUGGUAGUGUCUUGAGACAAGUUAACCAACCAUAUCAUGCUGAUCGUUGUCUGAGAUUGAGGAACCUGAAUCCAGUGCCGUACAGUGCUGAAUACAUGGGUCACAAACUGCACUUGGAUCAAAAUGAAAAGCUGGUGAUGUUUGGGGUGACACAUGUCCUCGCUGUAGAUGGUUUCUCCAGCAAAAUUGUCAGCCAUUCAACAAUGCCUGUCAAAAACAACCUGACAAUAUAUCAAGAGGUGUUCAGGUAACUUUGUGGGCUUUCUAUUUCAUCAUUUAGUUUUACAUUAUAGGCACUGUCCAACUACAUCUACAUCAUCCUUCCCGACCAAGGACGACCUAAUUAUGUCUUCCUGUAAUUCUACAAUUCUGCAGUUUCAUUUAGCAGAUGCUUUUGUCCAAAGCGACGUACAACACAAGCAAGAAUUUAGACUUAAAGGAGAACUCGGCCAAAUGUCAUGUCAGCCUCCACAGCUUAGGGUCGACUCGACUAUCAUAGGCUAUCUGUUGAGCGACUAUCAAACAAAAAAUAGUCGCCGAGAGGCUAAACAGGGGAAAAACUUUACCUGCUGGAUGCACUGGCUGAUCAUUUAAGACACUUCUCCAUGUACUGCUUUUGCUUAUUUGUUGCUGCUAAAAACACAAUUAGAAUAUUCCCACAAUCUUUAAAAACAGAGCCAUAAUGUCUUGAGAUCAUGCAGUCAGCAAAAGUGCGACUUCCCCCUUCACCCUCUCAGUUCCCCCCCAUUCACCGAGUGAACAGGUAAUUUAAAAACUCAGCUGAUUUGUCA